Ornithodoros turicata is the source of this 307-nucleotide long non-coding RNA. RefSeq lists it as uncharacterized. The transcript is spliced from 2 exons. The record is from RefSeq and is a predicted model, not a curated record. NCBI's taxonomy places the organism in Eukaryota, Metazoa, Arthropoda, Arachnida, Ixodida, Argasidae.
UUAAUAGAAGAAUGCAACAGGAAUUUGCUUGCGCUUCCUGAGAAGGCGGCUGUGUGUGUGUUGUGUCGUGCGUUCUGUGUUCCAUGCCAUGUCGUCCAUCGAUAGGAACCAACUCGAUCGCAUCGGCGCUCUCUUGGAUUACCACAAGACAAGCCUUCUCCUCCCAAAACGAAGUCACUCAGGCACACAGCGUAGGACGAGAGGAAUGGAAGGCGUCGCCCCGGCUCUACUGAAAUCUAUUGGGACCAAAUUAAGUGAAUUGAAAGGCAAACGAAACCAUGGAAAUAAAAUUGUCGACUGAAUCUUA